UGCCUUUAUGUGUUGCCCUGCCAUUGUUUUCCUAGUGAUGAUUGGGGUGUCAAAUAAGGCAUACAUUAACUUUUGCGGUUGAUGAUGAAAAGGAUCACAAGUGAUUCUUUUGCGCCAUCUGCUGCAAAGACAUUC
Molecule: small nucleolar RNA, 135 nt
Organism: Lampris incognitus (smalleye Pacific opah)
Lineage: Eukaryota; Metazoa; Chordata; Actinopteri; Lampriformes; Lampridae
Product: small nucleolar RNA SNORA13
Exons: 1
Source: RefSeq, a predicted model, not a curated record